CAGCGGCAGACGGGUGAGUAACGCGUGGGAASGUACCUUUUGGUUCGGAACAACACAGGGAAACUUGUGCUAAUACCGGAUAAGCCCUUACGGGGAAAGAUUUAUCGCCGAAAGAUCGGCCCGCGUCUGAUUAGCUAGUUGGUGAGGUAAUGGCUCACCAAGGCGACGAUCAGUAGCUGGUCUGAGAGGAUGAUCAGCCACAUUGGGACUGAGACACGGCCCAAACUCCUACGGGAGGCAGCAGUGGGGAAUAUUGGACAAUGGGGGCAACCCUGAUCCAGCCAUGCCGCGUGAGUGAUGAAGGCCCUAGGGUUGUAAAGCUCUUUUGUGCGGGAAGAUAAUGAC
RNAcentral lists this ribosomal RNA (345 nucleotides) under Bradyrhizobium sp. R-45957. RNAcentral's name for it is "bacterial SSU rRNA". It matches the Rfam family "Bacterial small subunit ribosomal RNA", at positions 93 to 455 of the family's 1533-position model. The record is from RNAcentral. Lineage: Bacteria; Pseudomonadati; Pseudomonadota; Alphaproteobacteria; Hyphomicrobiales; Nitrobacteraceae.